RNAcentral lists this long non-coding RNA (1353 nucleotides) under Cyanistes caeruleus (blue tit). Its description in RNAcentral is "lncRNA (ENSCCEG00000014798.1)". The record is from RNAcentral. Lineage: Eukaryota; Metazoa; Chordata; Aves; Passeriformes; Paridae.
CCCCGCCAGGAUAUUUUUCCUGUAAAAACUUUUAAAGUGUUAUUUUAAGCAAACCCCGAGGCAGACUUUAAUCACUAGGGGGGGUCUCCGCAGCAUUGAGCAGUUUUGGGAGCACGUCCCUUCUGCUGGUGAAGGAAUGGAUGCCAAGCACAGCAUCAGCAGAACAGAAAUCAAGUGUGGUGGCAGCUUUUUCUCUUCCUACACAACUUGGCCUUAAACACGGAGGUGAACAGGAACCACACUGGGCAGAGGUGAGCUUCGCCCGCCUGUUUCAGGCCACAUCCAGUCUGCAGGGAGCACUGAACAAACACUGGUUCGGGGGCGAGACGUUGCACACCGCCGGCCGGAUGUGAGGACUCUGACUUUCUGAUACUCGUCUUCAAGUUUGGGUGUUUUUAUGGACUCUUCUUUGCUGCUGCCUGCCUCGUGAGGCAGGGAGCUCUUGUCCAACACUGUUGAAGGAAAGCCAGAAUGUGGGUGUGUUUGGUAAAGCUUGCUGCUGGCUCCCCGCACCGGUGACCUCUGUGCAAGGGAGGCAGGUAUUAGACUGACGGCUUCCUCUGCCCUGGGUAGUAGUGGAUGGUAGAGUGCAGGAGUGUCAUUUUGGCUGCUAGUUAAAAAUGAUGCCUGGGAUUGAUGACUAAAAAUACUUUGGGUAUCUUCCAGAACAGAGAUGCUCAAUUCCUCCACGUUUUUAGCAAUGAAAAAUAUUCAUGUAGCUUGGAACCAUCAGGUUAUUUGUUUUAUUCAUUGGUUACUGUUUAUUUCAUUGCACCCUGUGUGAGAGAAAAUCACAAAGAAAUCUGACCUCUUCAGCCAUUCCAUUGGGUACCACUUUGCAGCUCUCUCACAAGUUGUUCUUUGUCAUUGCCAUCAAUUAAAAAAAAAAUCAGCAGAACAGUCUGAAAAAGAAACCGUCUUGGGGUUGCUGGUGGUUAUUAGUUUCUGCCACUGCCUGCUUUCAGUUCAGUGUUCUCAGUGCCCAUGAGCCAGCAGAAAGCCAAAACCCAUGGAAUAUGGCACAAAUGUCAUUCUUCUACAAUGCUAAUGUAUAUGUUUUUAGUAGUUUUAUGAUGGAUGUUUAUUUUAUUUUGUUUUUCUAUUCUCUUACUAUAACGUGGUCGGUCAGGAAGGCUUAGAUCCCAGGCAUCCGAUAAUUUUGCUUCAGGAUUUGACAGGGAAAUUAAUUAGCAUCUGGUCUGAUAUGUACACUGUACAAGCAGUCUGUCCAUUACUCUAGUGCAUAGUGUUUGGAGGCUGUUGUGAGCAUAUACUGACUAGCAGCAGUAAUGGUAUUUCAAGGGAGAUCUAUCAGUUCCCAGUCUGUAUGCACUCAGAGGUUUGUCCGUAUGG